UGGGGAAUAUUGGACAAUGGGCGCAAGCCUGAUCCAGCCAUGCCGCGUGAGUGAUGAAGGCCCUAGGGUUGUAAAGCUCUUUCACCGGUGAAGAUAAUGACGGUAACCGGAGAAGAAGCCCCGGCUAACUUCGUGCCAGCAGCCGCGGUAAUACGAAGGGGGCUAGCGUUGUUCGGAUUUACUAGGCGUAAAGCGCACGUAGGCGGACUUUUAAGUCAGGGGUGAAAUCCCGGGGCACAACCCCGGAACUGCCUUUGAUACUGGAAGUCUUGAGUGUGGUGGAGGUGAGUGGAAUUCCGAGUGUAGAGGUGAAAUUCGUAGAUAUUCGGAGGAACACCAGUGGCGAAGGCGGCUCACUGGACCAUUACUGACGCUGAGGUGCGAAAGCGUGGGGAGCAAACAGGAUU
RNAcentral lists this ribosomal RNA (407 nucleotides) under Brucella sp. RNAcentral describes it as "bacterial SSU rRNA". It matches the Rfam family "Bacterial small subunit ribosomal RNA", at positions 355 to 779 of the family's 1533-position model. The record is from RNAcentral. Lineage: Bacteria; Pseudomonadati; Pseudomonadota; Alphaproteobacteria; Hyphomicrobiales; Brucellaceae.